This is a long non-coding RNA of Corythoichthys intestinalis (scribbled pipefish), 587 nucleotides long. RefSeq lists it as uncharacterized. The transcript is spliced from 2 exons. Lineage: Eukaryota; Metazoa; Chordata; Actinopteri; Syngnathiformes; Syngnathidae. The record is from RefSeq and is a predicted model, not a curated record.
UGAAAAAAUAAAAAAAGCUCCGUGAGAACGGUGGAGGAAAAAAUGAGAAAAAUAUUGCUACAAAUCACACAUGGGGACACACUUUAGAUUUUACACCAACAAGAAAGGAAGUAAGGUGAACAAGGACUUUGCUGUAUGCAAGAAUUGUCUAAGAAAAAUAAGUUUCACUGGGAGCUGGUGACGUAGUGGACACUGGAGUUUGUGAACUUUGCUUUCAUCACUUCAGGUGAGGAAGACUGUGACUGAGCAAGUCUGGCAUCUUAAAUGCUGAAGCAGAUAGUGGAAGUGCUCAAACCAUGCAAAUAAGGUCAUAUAAGAAGAAAAGACCCACCAAUUUUAUCAUUGCCCCACUCCAAGCUCAACUGCUGACACCUAUGGCACUUUUUAUUUAUUAUUAUUAUUAUUUUUUAAAGAUUUAAAACUUUAAAGAAAUUAAGGGUGCCAUUCAUCAUGAUCUUUCCAAGCGAUAUCAGUGGUUGUGGUUUGUUUCCUCUAUAUGUGCAGGUGCACAAUUUGCAGUAGAUUUAUAUUUUACAGCAAUGUUGCACAGAAAAGGUGUCACUGUUUAAUAAAUGACUUAAACAGUA